This 468-nucleotide ribosomal RNA is filed under the name uncultured bacterium. RNAcentral describes it as "partial 16S ribosomal RNA". It matches the Rfam family "Bacterial small subunit ribosomal RNA", at positions 28 to 507 of the family's 1533-position model. The record is from RNAcentral.
GACGAACGCUGGCGGCGUGCUUAACACAUGCAAGUCGAACGGAAAGGCCCUGCUUUUGUGGGGUGCUCGAGUGGCGAACGGGUGAGUAACACGUGAGUAACCUGCCCUUGACUUUGGGAUAACUUCAGGAAACUGGGGCUAUUACCGGAUAGGAGCUCCUGCUCCAUGGGGGGGGUUGGAAGGUUUCGGCGGUUGGGGAUGGACUCGCGGCUUAUCAGCUUGUUGGUGGGGUAGUGGCUUACCAAGGCUUUGACGGGUAGCCGGCCUGAGAGGGUGACCGGCCACAUUGGGACUGAGAUACGGCCCAGACUCCUACGGGAGGCAGCAGUGGGGAAUAUUGCACAAUGGGCGGAAGCCUGAUGCAGCAACGCCGCGUGCGGGAUGACGGCCUUCGGGUUGUAAACCGCUUUCGCCUGUGACGAAGCGUGAGUGACGGUAAUGGGUAAAGAAGCACCGGCUAACUACGUG